RNAcentral lists this ribosomal RNA (443 nucleotides) under uncultured bacterium. Its description in RNAcentral is "partial 16S ribosomal RNA". It matches the Rfam family "Bacterial small subunit ribosomal RNA", at positions 338 to 795 of the family's 1533-position model. The record is from RNAcentral.
CCUACGGGCGGCAGCAGUGGGGAAUAUUGGGCAAUGGGCGCAAGCCUGACCCAGCAACGCCGCGUGAAGGAAGAAGGCUUUCGGGUUGUAAACCUCUUUUGUCAGGGACGAAGCAAGUGAUGCUACCUGACGAAUAAGCCACGACUAACUACGUGCCAGCAGCCGCGGUAAUACGUAGGCGGCAAGCGUUAUGCGGAUUUAGUGGGUGUAAAGGGCGAGUAGGCGGGAAUGCAAGUCAGAUGUGAAAACUAUGGGCUCAACCCAGGGACUGCAUUUGAUAUUGUAGUUCUUGAGUGCUGGAGAGGCAAGCGGAAUUCCUUGUGUAGCGGUGAAAUGCGUAGAUAUAAGGAGGAACACCAGUGGCGAAGGUGGAUUGCUGGACAGUAACUGACGCUGAGGCGCGAAAGCGUGGGGAGCAAACAGGAUUAGAUACCCGGGUAGUC